GUAUCCCCUCUCGUUCUUCACUCUCCCUCCCCUGUUGAUGAGAAGCAAAAGAAAAUCACAAUUUCUUUCCACAAACUCCGGAAACCCAUUUAUGGGAUUGAAAUGAAAUUGUCACUCGUUCUUUCAAGACGUGGUAAUUGAUUUAUGUUGCUAUCUGCGUUACGUUUCCUUGACGAUAAUCGAUUUGAUUUGGAAGCUAGACGACUCUACUUUAGGACCGUCAGGCCCACUGGGGCACCCCACCACCUCGGUGGCUACCCGGAAGAUCGUUGCGGCAACGAUGGCUGGUAACCAGAACUACCCUGGCGUCGACACUGGCCUUUAGUUUGGAGCUAGCUUGAUGCAGUAAGCCGGAAAAGCUUACUAUAUGGGAGCUAUGGACACAAUAUCGGUAUAUGUUGUUGUCCUUGUAUAUAUAUGUCAUGGGAUGUGUUGGGUAGUUUUCCUAUGGGUGCUAAAUGAUAUUUUCUUUACAUGUCUUUCUGCCUGUACAUGUGUACAAACUAAAGAAUUAUCUCGGGUUAGACGGAAUAAUUUUUACACUCCUUUUGACUGUCCAGUUUUCAUUUUCAUUUUCUUUCAUCGUUAGCGUGUCGACAUUUCUUAAAUCAUAUUUGUUACCUACUUGGAAUUCUUUUUAUUUGAACCAUAAUGUGUAUAUGUCAUUCUCUGUUUUGAAAUUCCUGCUGGAACUUGAAGAUAGUAGCAGGCCUUGUUUUGUAUAUUUCGUUCUCUUACGGAUUUACUUAAAUUAAUACUUGUUAUAUUUAUGUGAAGUGUGUACUCAUCACCAUUAUGUUUCAUUUUGGAUCUUUGGAACUCAUUUAAUUUAAGUUUGGAUCUAUGCAGUCAACUACUAAGUGUACUUGACAUCUAUACAUUUUUAUUGUUCCAGCAUUCUUCUGAGUAUUGAUGCCCUUAAUUGCACAUUUUAUGUUUGAAAAUAAUGGACUCGUUUAAACAGGCUAUGUUGGAUUUUUAUGGACAAGAAUGUACACAUUUUUUUUCCACUGUCUAAACUCAGGCUCUUUAAUUGUUUUCCUUUCGUACAAAAUCAUUUCCGUUUUAUGUACCAUUUUAUAUGUAUCGUUUUAUACUUCUGUGUGACGGAACGGGGGUUUAGUCUUGCUGGACGGGCUGGAUCCAGCCCGCUAGAAGGGAAAAUUCACCAGUCCGUUACAGUUUAGUAUCAGAGCAGUUCCGAUUUAUUUGGACUGUGGGACUUACUUAUUUUUUUGGCGCCGUGUACUUGAUCAAUUCAUUUCGGUUUUGAUGACUCGAAAACGAUUUGUUUUAUCGUUUUUAUAUUGCUUUGGGGUUGGGGUUAAAAGUUUCAAAGCCAUGAUAUAUAUAUAUAUAGCUUGUUGGGAGUCUUAGGUUCUUAAUUUAGUAACUGUUACUAAUUAUAGGGCAUAACCCUUGUGACUGUUGUCUUCUGAAAAUGUUGCGAAGCACUGGAAGCACCAAUUCAGCUGGAAGGGAACUUUAUCCUAAUUUUAGAACCAAGUGCGUCAAAUAUAAUUUGGAGUAAGGAAAGGCUGUACAAGCUAUGUGGCUUGGAAUCGCAUUCACUUGAAGUUUUGACACUAAUUGGGUUUCACUGGAUGCACGAAUUUUUCUCACCAACCGUUUGAUGAAAACUCUGAGGAUCAGAAUGGAUACGGGUACCUCCUUUUCUUCUUCGAACUAUCCAGGUUUUAGAAGAAUUAAUGUAGGCCAAGCAAAAUCGAGUUUAAAAGGAAGUGAUUGCGGAUUAUUGACACAAACAAGCAAGUCCUCGAGAUAGGGACCUCCAAUAUGGUGAUCAUGUUUCCACGACAUCAAAGCUUGGAAAAGGCAACUUCUGAAAUGGAAUUUUAAAGGAAAGAAUGGUAUCGCAAACUAUAUGGAGGUAAUCAUCAUCACUCUUAGUUUUGGCUUGAUUUUCGAGGACGAAAAUUCUUUUUAGUGGGUAAUGGUGUAACAGACGGAGAAAUUUAAUUUGGAUUGCAGGCUCGAGGUGAGUGCCUUGAGUCGUAGGUUGGGUGUCAUUAACUCAUUUAGCCAUCCCUUAUAAUUAGAGAAGAGUCUAAUUAGUGUUUUCAUGCACUUGACUAAGACUAUAGUUGACUACUUGACACCUGGGUGUGUACGUCACAAGAAAAGAAUGGGCAUUCUCGUCGUUUCAAAGUUUUUGUUCAUAAAUGUAAAAAGAUAAAUUUUAUUCUUCUUGUUCCGUCCGUAUCCCCCUCUCGUUCUUCACUCUCCCUCCCCUGUUGAUGAGAAGCAAAAGAAAAUCACAAUUUCUUUCCACGAACUCCGGAAACCCAUUUAUGGGAUUGAAAUGGUUGUUCUAAGAAAUUGUCACUUGUUCUUUCAAGACGUGGUGAUUGAUUUAUGUUGCUAUCUGCGUUACGGUAGGGGUUUCUUCCCUUUUGAUUUUGAACUAUGGGUUUCAAUGUUGUUAAUCGAUAUUACUUAUGCAUGUUUGAUUUUAACCCCUCUCCAUAUUUCAUGAUUACUUUAAAUCAAAGGAUGGGUGAUCGCAAAUUAUAUCUGAAUCUAUGUUUAAAUUGAAAUUACAUGAAAAAUCCCUAAAUAUUUCUACUCCAUUUGUCUAGUUGCCGAGAGUGAAGUUUGGAUUUUUAUCCCGUCCCUAUCGUAAUCUUUUAUAUAACCUGGUUUGGAAGUCUGAUCAUUUCAGUAUGGUUUGGUUCUUUAAUUUCAUAAAUACAUCUCAUUUUUGGUUUAUGAAUAUUUCUUUGAAUGUCCCGAACAUGCGCAACAUUUUCGAAUUUUAUUAUCGUUCAUACGCAAAUCAAAAUGAUUGUUUGGGAUGUUUUGUUAACUAAAACUUUUACAAAUUUUUUCUGUGAAUCUCCUUCAAUUUACCUAUGUUUUGAAUGAUUUCCCGCAACAAGAAUCUUAUUGGAAAUCCUAUCGUUUUUGUGUCUUAUGCUUACAUUUUAGGCUGUACAGAUUUUUAAAUACACAAAAUGAUUUUGAAGGUUUGAAAUGUUCGCAGCUAUCCAAAUUUGUUUUCCCACCCAAAAUCAAUCAAGCCUCGAGUUGAGUUUUCCUAAACUUGCAUACUUUCUGCUUGUUUAAGGGACCCAAUGAGUAACAUACUUUCUGUUGGUAACCUGAAACUUUAUGAACUGAUCAUGCUCUAUAUUUUUGAAUCUUGAUGCUUAUGCUUCAUUAACGGGUAUUUGAAACUACAUGCCAUGAUUCAAAGAUUUGAACAAUUUCUCAUGGAUUUUGUAUUCUAUUGAAAUUCACACUUUCCAGCUCAAUGUUUUUCCUUAAAGCACCAGCUUAAGUUUUCCUCUUAAUAUCCCUGGUUGCCGAUAUUGAGUUACCAAACCUUGUUCAUCAACCUCUUUCCAGUUACCCCUGCUUUGAUGAUUUUUGCAAAACAAUAUUAGUCUGAAAUCCUAUGUUUUUAUGUUCACUUAUGGCCUAUCAAACUGUGGGACGAGAUUGGUUUCUAAAGAUUGAAAAUACUACACAAUUACCAAGUUUUGAUUUUUGAAAAUUAAGCCUUGUACUGAGUUCAUGAAUCAACCUAUGACUUGUUUAGAAAAAUGAUCGAGUGAACUAAUAUAUUUUCUAUUACUCCACUAAAGAGUUUCCUCCAUGCAUUCCUUCUUGUUUUGUUGACCACUUAGCAUCUCAAGUAUGCUGACCCAAUAUUUUUGUCUUACUGCACUAGUCAAAAGUGUUUCAAACUUGCAAACCAUUGUUGCGGAAUUUUACUUAAAAUGUUCUGCCAAAUGAUUUUAUACGUUUUUUUAAUAGACUUGGGUUAUUCGUACUCAUUUUGUUCUUUGAUUUUAGUUUGGUCAUAUCAUUUGAACCUAUUUGAAUCUACACCCAAUAAAGUGUUUGUUUUUCAUUCCUAUGAAAACCCUGUCGGCAAUUAGGACUGCAAUGCGAGAUUUCCCCCUGCUUACGUCAGAUUCAUAUCCAUUUUUGUGCUCCCUGGAUAUGUGGUUGUUGUAGCUUAAUUAGCUUCCUAUGCUAUUUUUUAUCCAUUUUUGUGCUCCCUGGAUAUGUGGUUGUUGUAGCUUAAUUAGCUUCCUAUGCUAUUUUUAUAUAUCGACUAUCUGGUGAGAUGCUAUUUUUAUUUAUCGACUAUCUGGUGAGAUUGAGACCGUAUAGGUAUAGUUGUGUCGGUUAAGCUUUUGGUUUUGACAGCUGUCUUUCUAUUCUGGAAUGUACUUGUGAUUGUAUAUUUCAUUGACUCUUAAGAAUGCCGCAAUUGCUGCAAUUUCUGAGUUUUUCAUAACUUGGUUUCUGGAAGUUUCUUUGACGAUAAUCGAUUUGAUUUGGAAGCUAGACGACUCUACUUUAGGACCGUCAGGCCCACUGGGGCACCCCCACCACCUCGGUGGCUACCCGGAAGAUCGUUGCGGCUGGUAACCAGAACUACCCUGACGUCGGCACUGACCUUUGUAAGGAGUAGAGUAAUUUUUAUCUGAAUUUAAAUAGAUGGCAGCUUACAAAUGUUUGUGAAAAAAUGCUUUACAUUCACUUAUGAAUUUCAUAUUCUAGUUUAUGCUCUUUUGAUGCUUUAAGCUUUUGGCAUUUUAUUUGUAUAUCUUUUGGCACUCGAUUAUCGUUAUAUCUCCUACUGGGCGGUGGGCUCACCCCGUUUUAUUUUGUUUUGUUUUGUUUUGUUUUGUUUUGUUUUGUCUUUUUUUCUUUCUUUUUUUUUCCCACAGAGUUUGGAGCUAGCUUGAUGCAGUAAGCCGGAAAAGCUUACGAUAAGGGAGCUAUGGACACAAUAUCGGUAUAUGUUGUUGUCCUUGUAUAUAUAUAUCAUGGGCUGUGUUGGGUGGUUUUCCUAUGGGUGCUAAAUGAUAUUUUCUUUACAUGUCUUUCUGCCUUACAUGUGUACAAACUAAAGAAUUAUCUCGGGUUAGACGGAAUAAUUUUUACACUCCUUUUGACUGUCCAGUUUUCAUUUUCAUUUUCUUUCAUCGUCAGCGUGUCGACAUUUCUUAAAUCAUAUUUGUUACCUACUUGGAAUUCUUUUUAUUUGAACCAUAAUGUGUAUAUGUCAUUCUCUGUUUUGAAAUUCCUGCUGGAACUUGAAGAUAGUAGCAGGCCUUGUUUUGUAUAUUUCGUUCUCUUACGGAUUUACUUAAGUUAAUACUUGUUAUAUUUAUGUGAAGUGUGUACUCAUCACCAUUAUGUUUCAUUUUGGAUCUUUGGAACUCAUUUAAUUUAAGUUUGGAUCUAUGUAGUCAACUACCAAGUGUACUUAACAUCUAUACAUAUUGAUUGUUCCAGCAUUCUUCUGAGUAUUGAUGCCCUUAAUUGCACAUUUUAUGUUUGAAAAUAAUGGACUCGUUUGAACAGGCUAUGUUGGAUUUUUAUGGACAAGAAUGUACACAUUUUUUUUCCACUGUCUAAACUCAGGCUCUUUAAUUGUUUUCCUUUCGUACAAAAUCAUUUCCGUUUUAUGUACCAUUUUAUAUGUAUCGUUUUAUACUUCUGUGUGACAGAACGGGGGUUUAGUCUUGCUGGACGGGCUGGAUCCAGCCCGCUAGAAGGGAAAAUUCACCGGUACGUUACAUACUCUGAAGACCUGAUGAAUGUGAAGAAGAAGCUAACUACAACGAAGACAUCAUCCUUCCUCUUGAGGUUAGUAAUAUUGAAUUGAACUGUUUCAUUCAUAACGUAUCUUUCAAGUCGUGCUAUAUUGAAAAGAUAACU
Papaver somniferum (opium poppy) is the source of this 5703-nucleotide long non-coding RNA. RefSeq lists it as uncharacterized. The transcript has 5 exons. The record is from RefSeq and is a predicted model, not a curated record. NCBI's taxonomy places the organism in Eukaryota, Viridiplantae, Streptophyta, Magnoliopsida, Ranunculales, Papaveraceae.